Vitis riparia (riverbank grape) is the source of this 875-nucleotide long non-coding RNA. RefSeq lists it as uncharacterized. The record is from RefSeq and is a predicted model, not a curated record. The transcript has 4 exons. NCBI's taxonomy places the organism in Eukaryota, Viridiplantae, Streptophyta, Magnoliopsida, Vitales, Vitaceae.
UAGCUGAGUUUGGGGACUUCUAGCUCUUCACCUGGCUGAUGAUCCUAUUUUACCUUUCAACUAUGUCUCUUACACAGAACAAUUAUGGAACUACACAAAUCUCCUACGCAACUUGGGUGAAAGGUAAUGUAUCCCUGCACCCUAUAACUGCAUCCAUUCAGGAACUCGCCUCUGCAGCCGAAGAAGCUGAGGGAGAAGCAUCUAGCAGUCCCUAUGGCCAACUUGACAAGGAACAAUGAAGAUGACUCUGGACGUCCAUUUGAUGGGUGCAAGGCUGCUAGAUUUUGCAAUUCUUAGACCAUACUUGCAACAUCCUGCCAUCAGUCAUGACCCAGCAACAGUGACAUCUAAAGGACUGCAAUCAAUUCUUGCCUUUUUUGAACUAAUCCCAAGGAAACAUAAUGGUAUGCUGUUGCUGAUAAUGUCAUUGCUACUAUUUAUGCUACUCAUCCAACUCCUAUGGAGAAAUAUGGAAGUUGUGGUUGAAAAGGUUUGCAACAGGUUUGGUGGAGUCACAUGUAUUGUUUAUACUAUUGUUUUAAUUCUAUUUUCAUCUAUCAUGUGCUAAUAUGACAACUUAUUAUCAUGUCAGGUUUUCAUGCAUGACUUCAUUAUAAGAUAUAAUGUCAUGGCACCUUGCAUUUUUGUUGAAUAUAGCUUACGCUUGGACUAGUCUCUUAUUUACCCAUAUCGGAGACAUACUUCAUUAAUAACCUAGCAAGGUAUUAAGUUCUUGCAUUACCUUAUUUGCAGUUUAUUUUUUUUAAUAAUUGGUGUAUUUUUUCACACUAACGAAAACCAAAGUAAGGAGUUUGCAACUGGAACUCAAGUCUCGCAUUGAGGAGUUUGAGAAGCUUGACAAAUUCCAUAUGGAA